Trichonephila inaurata madagascariensis is the source of this 69-nucleotide non-coding RNA. Lineage: Eukaryota; Metazoa; Arthropoda; Arachnida; Araneae; Nephilidae. The record is from the annotation of a GenBank genome assembly.
UUUGUUGUGUCCCUGUAGCAUGCUGGACUUCUAAUCCAAAGUUCGUGGGUUCGAAUCCCACCUGAAAAG